CAGUAGCCGCGGGAAUACGUAGGGUGCGAGCGUUAAUCGGAAUUACUGGGCGUAAAGCGUGCGCAGGCGGUUUUGUAAGACAGGCGUGAAAUCCCCGGGCUCAACCUGGGAAUGGCGCUUGUGACUGCAAAGCUAGAGUGCGGCAGAGGGGGAUGGAAUUCCGCGUGUAGUAGUGAAAUGCGUAGAUAUGCGGAGGAACACCGAUGGCGAAGGCAAUCCCCUGGGCCUGCACUGACGCUCGUGCACGAAAGCGUGGGGAGCGAACAGGAUUAGAUACCCCAGUAGUCCCUGUCUCUUAUAC
Molecule: ribosomal RNA, 301 nt
Filed under: uncultured bacterium
Lineage: Bacteria
Description: partial 16S ribosomal RNA
Rfam family: Bacterial small subunit ribosomal RNA
Source: RNAcentral